RNAcentral lists this ribosomal RNA (441 nucleotides) under uncultured bacterium. Its description in RNAcentral is "bacterial SSU rRNA". It matches the Rfam family "Bacterial small subunit ribosomal RNA", at positions 791 to 1230 of the family's 1533-position model. The record is from RNAcentral.
UAGUCCACGCCGUAAACGAUGAGAACUAGAUGUCGGGGGGAUCUGCCCUUCGGUGUCGCAGCUAACGCGUUAAGUUCUCCGCCUGGGGAGUACGCCGGCAACGGUAAAACUCAAAGGAAUUGACGGGGACCCGCACAAGCGGUGGAGCAUGUGGUUUAAUUCGAUGCAACGCGAAGAACCUUACCUGGCCUUGACAUCCUGAGAACUUUCUAGAGAUAGAUUGGUGCCUUCGGGAACUCAGUGACAGGUGCUGCAUGGCUGUCGUCAGCUCGUGUCGUGAGAUGUUGGGUUAAGUCCCGCAACGAGCGCAACCCUUGUCCUUAGUUGCCAGCACGUAAUGGUGGGAACUCUAAGGAGACUGCCGGUGACAAACCGGGAGGAAGGUGGGGACGACGUCAAGUCAUCAUGGCCUUACGGCCAGGGGCUACACACGUGCUACAA